This 1149-nucleotide ribosomal RNA is filed under the name uncultured Synechococcus sp. RNAcentral describes it as "bacterial SSU rRNA". It matches the Rfam family "Bacterial small subunit ribosomal RNA", at positions 122 to 1303 of the family's 1533-position model. The record is from RNAcentral. Lineage: Bacteria; Bacillati; Cyanobacteriota; Cyanophyceae; Synechococcales; Synechococcaceae.
GAAUCUGCCCUCAGGAGGGGGACAACAGCUGGAAACGGCUGCUAAUACCCCAUAUGCCGCGAGGUGAAAUGAAUUUCGCCUGAGGAUGAGCUCGCGUCUGAUUAGCUAGUUGGUGUAGGUAAUGGCUCACCAAGGCAUCGAUCAGUAGCUGGUCUGAGAGGAUGAUCAGCCGCACUGGGACUGAGACACGGCCCAGACUUCUACGGGAGGCAGCAGUGGGGAAUUUUCCGCAAUGGGCGAAAGCCUGACGGAGCAACGCCGCGUGAGGGAUGAAGGCCUCUGGGCUGUAAACCUCUUUUAUCAAGGAAGAAGAUCUGACGGUACUUGAUGAAUAAGCCACGGCUAAUUCCGUGCCAGCAGCCGCGGUAAUACGGGAGUGGCAAGCGUUAUCCGGAAUUAUUGGGCGUAAAGCGUCCGCAGGCGGCCCUUCAAGUCUGCUGUUAAAAAGUGGAGCUUAACUCCAUCAUGGCAGUGGAAACUGUUGGGCUUGAGUGUGGUAGGGGCAGAGGGAAUUCCCGGUGUAGCGGUGAAAUGCGUAGAUAUCGGGAAGAACACCAGUGGCGAAGGCGCUCUGCUGGGCCAUCACUGACGCUCAUGGACGAAAGCCAGGGGAGCGAAAGGGAUUAGAUAUCCCUGUAGUCCUGGCCGUAAACGAUGAACACUAGGUGUCGGGGGAAUCGACCCCCUCGGUGUCGUAGCCAACGCGUUAAGUGUUCCGCCUGGGGAGUACGCACGCAAGUGUGAAACUCAAAGGAAUUGACGGGGGCCCGCACAAGCGGUGGAGUAUGUGGUUUAAUUCGAUGCAACGCGAAGAACCUUACCAGGGUUUGACAUCCUGCGAAUCUCUUGGAAACAGGAGAGUGCCUUCGGGAACGCAGUGACAGGUGGUGCAUGGCUGUCGUCAGCUCGUGUCGUGAGAUGUUGGGUUAAGUCCCGCAACGAGCGCAACCCACGUCUUUAGUUGCCAGCAUUUAGUUGGGCACUCUAGAGAGACUGCCGGUGAUAAACCGGAGGAAGGUGUGGAUGACGUCAAGUCAUCAUGCCCCUUACAUCCUGGGCUACACACGUACUACAAUGCUACGGACAAAGGGCAGCAAGUUCGCGAGGACAAGCAAAUCCCAUAAAACCGUGGCUCAGUUCAGAUCGUAG